Molecule: ribosomal RNA, 480 nt
Filed under: uncultured bacterium
Lineage: Bacteria
Description: partial 16S ribosomal RNA
Rfam family: Bacterial small subunit ribosomal RNA
Source: RNAcentral
GACGAACGCUGGCGGCGUGCUUAACACAUGCAAGUCGAACGAUGAAGAAAAGAAUUGAAGCUUCGGCAGAAAUUCAUUUCGGAUUAGUGGCCGACGGGUGAGUAACGCGUGAGCAACCUACCUCUUACAAAGGGAUAGCCUCGGGAAACCGGGAUUAAUACCAUAUAACAUUGCGACGAAGCAUUUCGAUGCAAUCAAAGCUACGGCGGGAAGCGAUGGGCUCGCGUCCCAUUAACCAGAUGGUGAGGUAACGGCUCACCAUAGUAACGAUGGGUAACCGGCAUGAGAGAGUGAACGGUCACACUGGAACUGAGACACGGUCCAGACUCCUACGGGAGGCAGCAGUGGGGAAUAGUGCACCAUGGAGGGAACUCUGAUGCAGCGACGACGCGUGAGUGAUGAAGGAAUUCGUUACGUAAAGCUCUGUUAUAUGGGAAGAAAAGGACUGUACCAUAGGAGAAAGCUCCGGCUAAAUACGUG